UACGGAGGGUGCAAGCGUUAUCCGGAUUCACUGGGUUUAAAGGGUGCGUAGGUGGAUUGGCAAGUCCGUGGUGAAAUCCCCGAGCUUAACUUGGGAACUGCCAUGGAUACUAUUAAUCUUGAAUGUCGUGGAGAUGAGCGGAAUAUGUCAUGUAGCGGUGAAAUGCUUAGAUAUGACAUAGAACACCAAUUGCGAAGGCAGCUCGUUACGCGAAUAUUGACACUGAUGCACGAAAGCGUGGGGAUCAAACAGG
This 253-nucleotide ribosomal RNA is filed under the name uncultured bacterium. Its description in RNAcentral is "partial 16S ribosomal RNA". It matches the Rfam family "Bacterial small subunit ribosomal RNA", at positions 524 to 776 of the family's 1533-position model. The record is from RNAcentral.